CCUACGGGUGGCAGCAGUGAGGACUAUUGGUCAAUGGGCGUGAGCCUGAACCAGCCAAGUCGCGUGAGGGAUGAAGGUUCUAUGGAUCGUAAACCUCUUUUAUACGGGAAUAAAGUGUGGGACGUGUCCUAUUUUGUAUGUACCUUAUGAAUAAGGAUCGGCUAACUCCGUGCCAGCAGCCGCGGUAAUACGGAGGAUCCGAGCGUUGUCCGGAUUUAUUGGGUUUAAAGGGUGCGUAGGCGGCUUGUUAAGUCAGUGGUGAAAGUUUGUGGCUCAACCAUAGAAUUGCAGUUGAUACUGGCAGGCUUGAGUAGAGUUGAGGUAGGCGGAAUGCGUGGUGUAGCGGUGAAAUGCUUAGAUAUCACGAAGAACCCCGAUUGCGAAGGCAGCUUGCUAAGCUAUGACUGACGCUGAUGCACGAAAGCGUGGGGAUCAAACAGGAUUAGAUACCCGAGUAGUC
This 460-nucleotide ribosomal RNA is filed under the name uncultured bacterium. RNAcentral's name for it is "partial 16S ribosomal RNA". It matches the Rfam family "Bacterial small subunit ribosomal RNA", at positions 338 to 795 of the family's 1533-position model. The record is from RNAcentral.